Oncorhynchus mykiss (rainbow trout) is the source of this 298-nucleotide unclassified non-coding RNA. It matches the Rfam family "Metazoan signal recognition particle RNA". From Rfam's summary of the family: The signal recognition particle (SRP) is a universally conserved ribonucleoprotein. It is involved in the co-translational targeting of proteins to membranes. NCBI's taxonomy places the organism in Eukaryota, Metazoa, Chordata, Actinopteri, Salmoniformes, Salmonidae. The record is from Ensembl.
GCCGGGUGCAGUGGCAUGUACCUGUAAUCCAAGUCACUGGGAGGCUGAGGUUGGUGGAUCAAGUGAGCUGAGGAGCUCUGGGCUGCAGCACGCUAUGUCGAACGGGUGUCCAUGCUAAGUUCGGUAUCGAUAUGGUUUUCCUGGGGGAGCCUGGGACCACCAGGUUGUCUAAGGAGGGGUGAACCGGCCCAGGUCGGAAACGAAGCAGAUCAAAUCCCCGUGCUGUCCACUAGUGGGAUAAUACCUGUGAGUAGAUGCUGCAGUGCAGCCUUGGCAAAACAUUGAGACCUAAUCUUUU